Molecule: ribosomal RNA, 309 nt
Filed under: Stenotrophomonas maltophilia
Lineage: Bacteria; Pseudomonadati; Pseudomonadota; Gammaproteobacteria; Lysobacterales; Lysobacteraceae
Description: bacterial SSU rRNA
Rfam family: Bacterial small subunit ribosomal RNA
Source: RNAcentral
CAGUCGACGGCAGCACAGGAGAGCUUGCUCUCUGGGUGGCGGCGAGUGGCGGACGGGUGAGGAAUACAUCGGAAUCUACUUUUUCGUGGGGGAUAACGUAACGUAGGGAAACUUACGCUAAUACCGCAUACGACCUACGGGUGAAAGCAGGGGAUCUUCGGACCUUGCGCGAUUGAAUGAGCCGAUGUCGGAUUAGCUAGUUGGCGGGGUAAAGGCCCACCAAGGCGACGAUCCGUAGCUGGUCUGAGAGGAUGAUCAGCCACACUGGAACUGAGACACGGUCCAGACUCCUACGGAGGGAAGCAGUAA